CAGGGUGUAGUUCAAUGGUAGAAUGCUUGAUUUGGGUUCAAGUGGUUGCGAGUUCGAGUCUCGCCUCCCUGA
Molecule: transfer RNA, 72 nt
Filed under: Paludibacteraceae bacterium
Lineage: Bacteria; Pseudomonadati; Bacteroidota; Bacteroidia; Bacteroidales; Paludibacteraceae
Description: tRNA-Pro
Rfam family: tRNA
About the family: Transfer RNA (tRNA) molecules are approximately 80 nucleotides in length. Their secondary structure includes four short double-helical elements and three loops (D, anti-codon, and T loops).
Source: RNAcentral